This 301-nucleotide ribosomal RNA is filed under the name uncultured bacterium. RNAcentral describes it as "partial 16S ribosomal RNA". It matches the Rfam family "Bacterial small subunit ribosomal RNA", at positions 509 to 807 of the family's 1533-position model. The record is from RNAcentral.
CAGCCGCCGCGGUAAUACGUAGGUGGCAAGCGUUGUCCGGAAUUAUUGGGCGUAAAGGGCUCGCAGGCGGUUUCUUAAGUCUGAUGUGAAAGCCCCCGGCUCAACCGGGGAGGGUCAUUGGAAACUGGGAAACUUGAGUGCAGAAGAGGAGAGUGGAAUUCCAUGUGUAGCGGUGAAAUGCGUAGAGAUGUGGAGGAACACCAGUGGCGAAGGCGACUCUCUGGUCUGUAACUGACGCUGAGGAGCGAAAGCGUGGGGAGCGAACAGGAUUAGAGACCCGGGUAGUCCCUGUCUCUUAUAC